RNAcentral lists this ribosomal RNA (171 nucleotides) under uncultured marine bacterium. RNAcentral's name for it is "partial 16S ribosomal RNA". It matches the Rfam family "Eukaryotic small subunit ribosomal RNA", at positions 415 to 584 of the family's 1831-position model. The record is from RNAcentral.
CCUACGGGAGGCAGCAGGCACGCAAAUUACCCACUGGCCGAAGGCCGAGGUAGUGACGAAAAAUAACGAUACCGGACUCAUCCGAGGCCCGGUAAUCGGAAUGAGUACACUUUAAAUCCUUUAACGAGGAACAAUUGGAGGGCAAGUCUGGUGCCAGCAGCCGCGGUAAUA